This 3123-nucleotide long non-coding RNA is filed under the name Rhipicephalus microplus (southern cattle tick). RNAcentral's name for it is "uncharacterized LOC119164041, transcript variant X3". Lineage: Eukaryota; Metazoa; Arthropoda; Arachnida; Ixodida; Ixodidae. The record is from RNAcentral.
UUGGGCAGAUCGUGUGGCAGGUCUUGAGAACCAAGUGCUGGACGCACUGGGAGAGUGCGUGAGAGACCCCUCACUGAGGCCCCUGUGUGCCCAGUAUGGGGCUGUGUCGGGACUCACUGCUCUGGGUGUGGAGGCACUGCAGCAGGUUUUGGGGCCGCAUCUGGGUUCCUACUGGCGCCACCUGGAGCUCAUUCUCGCCGACUGCAGGCCGGCCAACGCACAGGCCCAAGCAGACGCCACUAGAGUGCACGGGGCGCUGCUGUUGGCAGCUGAGAAGCUGGUAAAGGAGCAGCGUCGCAUGAUGACGAAAACAGAGUUGCCCGGUGCCUCUUACGGUCUCCUGUACGACUGUUUUGGGGAUGCCCUGGCUUUGAGGCUGCCUCUUGCUGUACGGAGUGGCCCAGCUCCUCUACACACCACGGCAGGCCCCUCUGAAAGCAUCGGGCGGACAAGGCAGCCCCACGGGUGAGCAGAUGCUUGAGGCUUUCUACGAGGAAGAGCGCAGUCCCUCCGCAGCAGAAGAGGACAACAACUCGGAAGAGAGCAACCUCAGUGGGCCACCACCGAACAUCCACCCCCAGGUCAAGAGCACCAUAUCGGAUCCUGCAAGAGGAAUCCGCCUGACCAUCGCUCUGCGAAGGCCCCCCACCAUUGAAUCCAAGCAGCCACGCAAAAAGCGCCCUCCAGGGGCCAGUCCACACCGCUGAGCCUCCCUUUGAGGGGGUUCCCUGGACGCCCCCACCGCGUCGAGCAACCAUCAACAUCUGUUUUGAAGGUGCAAUGCCGGUGCUCCGCCCGCCACCGGAUCCACCUGCACCGGCCGAAGGGGAGUGGCGCACAGUCGAGUUGAGCAGGCGAAUGGGACGAGUGGGCCGGGGAGCACGAAGACGCAGAGCAUACCGGGACAGACACACCGGUGCUGGCAUAGACGCAAUCCUUUGAGAGAAGCAUGCCUCGUCUAUAAGCAGCUGCUGCCAAAGUCUGGCACUGUGGAGGGUUCAAGACGGAAAGGCAACGCUUGGAGAUGGCGCCAUGGCAGCUGCGGAUCCUGUGAGUGGGGCCGGCAGGCUGGCCUUGCACGUCCACUGCUCGUUUUCCAGGCAAAGGAUGCGGCUUCCGGAAACCACCAACAAUUGCCCACCUGUGAUUGAGACGGCAGACUUCAUCAACAGGCAGAAAGAAAAACUGUUCCACACUCACCAUCAUGGCUACUGGCAGCAGUGCCCAACUUUCCCACAUUAAAGUGCGCAUAUAUGCCCCAUAAAGUGGGCGAGGGGAUAGCUGCCGCGGUAACCCGGUUGGUAGAGCAUUAGACGCAUUAUUCUAAGGUCGCAGGUUCAUCCCCUGCCUGUAGCCAGUUACCUUUUCAUCCACUUUUCUUUCUUUACUAGUAACAUUUCCUAUACUUCCCUUGGCAUUAUUAUCUGUUAGUUCAGGCCAGGAGUUCAAAGUUGUCCACGCAAUAAAUGUGACAUCAGAGAUCCUACAGUGCCGCAUUGUAAAAUUUUGGAGCCAAUAAUUUAGUGCAUUAGUUUUGGGUGAAUCAGUAACAUAGUGAAACUUGUGUGAAAAAAAAAGAAAGGAAAUUGUUUUCCACUUGAAUGCCUCUAAGCAACAUUUUGUGUGGGGUUGUGGUCCCAGUCAAGCCCUCAAAGAGGUUUUUUGAACCUGUCCCUUAGCACCCUAAAUGAUUUGAUGUUGAAAUUAACAAAGUUUAAAAGUAAUGCAGCAUUGUCAUUGCCUAAUUGCCAAGCCCUUCAGGCUACAGGCAGGCUAGUUUGGGUUCGUGCCACUUAGACUUUGAAAGUUACUAGUUCACAAGCAACAAUAACCUACCUCGAUUGCCGCCAACAGUCUCUUUUCGCAUCUUACGAGUUAUCUAAAGCAUUGUAGCACAGAUUUGCCAUUGCUUAGUUGUCAAGCCCAAAGAUAGUUGUCAAGCCCAAAGUAAGGCUAGUUCCGAUCCGUGCCACCUACACUUUAAAUGUUACUUGUCCGCGAACAACAAUCGCCUGUCUCGAAUGGUGCCAACAGUGUCUUCGCAUCUUUUUAUGAGGAAUCUAAAGCAUUAACAGGUUCUCAUCUCCUCAAACUGCUAUAGGGGUACUGAUAAACAUUCGUCUGUUUUCCAUGCCACACACACAACUUGGCUUACUUGCUAUUGUUAAUUAAGGUUCAGAAGUGCAGGUGUCUGCUCUUCAUGUUGAUUAAAAUACCUGAAUUUCGUUUUACACCCAUGCAUUGCUCCUUGCGGUGCUGCGCUGUGCUCGCUUAUGUGCAGCAGGAAAUUGUGCCACCUUUCUUUUAUUGAAACAAUGAGUUGAUUUAGAUUGGUAAAAUGCACUCUGAGAACACUAAUGCCAUAAGUUUCUCUGUCAUAAGUUUAUUAUUAGCGGAGAAAAUCAAGAUUUAAGGUUCAUUUUUAAAUUUCACGCCGUAAUACCCGCGUGUGACGUACGAAAUUUCACAAUGUAUAUUUUGUUUUCGUGACAUUAGCUCGAUAAAAUUCUCUGAAACUUCAUAUGCUGUCUAUGGCAGCCACAGAUUAAAAUGUUCUUCAGUUUUAUUGAUUAGCUAUGUAGGCCCCAGUAGACUUAUUCGAAAAUUGAUGACGUAACAGUGUUUGGUGCGGGACUCUCAAGGUAGCGUCUCCACCUGCAGGUUCUUUUCACGCGUUUUCUCGCUUACCAGGUGCCAUGUCAGAGUGGUGUUUUCGGUAUUGUGAAAUUGUACUUUACAAAUGCGUGAAAAAUCGUUUUGCUCUUUGGUGUCCAUUAUUGAACUGUUUGCAAAGCACACCAACUGCACACUCACUCCCUUAAUUUUUGAAAAAUUUCUCACCAGAAUGGCAAGCCUUUGGUAAUUUUAAUUAUUUUUUCAUCUUUCACAAACUUCUCGCUCUUUGAUGAAGUCAAUAUUUUGACAAUUUCUGACUGAUAUGGCUAGCCUGUAGCGGUCGGAAACACUGCAUUUGUCUUUCAAAGUUUAAUGAUGUCUUGAUAAAAUUAAUUUAUUGAUGAAAUGACAGGCCUAUAGUCUUGGGAAACAUAAUUUUUUAAAACUUUUUUCGUAUUUCAGUGAAAUAUUAUUGCGUGUCAACAAAUAAAGAAAAAUAAAACAGCA